UACGUAGGGGGCAAGCGUUGUCCGGAUUUACUGGGCGUAAAGAGCGUGUAGGCGGAACGUUAAGUCUGGUUUGAAAGCCCCCGGCUCAACCGGGGAGAGUGGCUGGAAACUGGCGUUCUUGAGGGCGAUAGAGGAGUGUGGAAUUCCUGGUGUAGCGGUGAAAUGCGCAGAUAUCAGGAGGAACACCAAUGGCGAAGGCAGCUCGCUGGGACGGUACUGACGCUGAGACGCGAAAGCGUGGGGAGCAAACAGG
This 253-nucleotide ribosomal RNA is filed under the name uncultured bacterium. Its description in RNAcentral is "partial 16S ribosomal RNA". It matches the Rfam family "Bacterial small subunit ribosomal RNA", at positions 524 to 776 of the family's 1533-position model. The record is from RNAcentral.